Molecule: long non-coding RNA, 214 nt
Filed under: Nicotiana benthamiana
Lineage: Eukaryota; Viridiplantae; Streptophyta; Magnoliopsida; Solanales; Solanaceae
Description: long non-coding RNA (NBEN_LNC011379)
Source: RNAcentral
AAGACCCCAUCCAGGCUUACAAGGAGCACGCGCCGAGGUCGUCGCGAGAUUGAGCGGGGGAGAAUGUUAUGGACGGCACUAUUUUUGCCCCAAAACAGGCUCAAAACAGCUCCAAAAUGCUUACGGAACAGUCCAGCGUACCCCGGAAGGCCCUGGAUGACUCUAGAAUUGUGCAGAUUGUUAAAGACAAGUCUAGAAUCAUGUGGAGGCUUCU